This 1793-nucleotide long non-coding RNA is filed under the name Lynx pardinus (Iberian lynx). The record is from RNAcentral. Lineage: Eukaryota; Metazoa; Chordata; Mammalia; Carnivora; Felidae.
GAACCGCCGCCGCUGCCGCCGCCGCCGCCAGGACCGCCUUGGUAAAGUUUGCUGAUGAUGGGGUUGCACACUCUUUCGAGCUCUUUCUGCUUGUGUUCAUACUCAUCUUUCUCCGCCAUCUGGUUUCGGUCGAGCCAGUUGAUCACCUCCUGGCACUUGUCGAGGAUCUUGUUUUUGUCCUGCUCGCUAAUCUUGCCCCUCAGUUUCUCGUCUUCCACCGUCUGCUUGAUGUUGUAGGUAUAGGACUCCACCGCAUUUUUGGCGGCGACCCGGUCACGAUUGGCCUCAUCUUCCGACUUGUACCGCUCCGCUUCCUGCACCAUCCGGUCAAUGUCGUCCUUGCUCAGACGACCCUUGUCGUUGGUAAUGGUGAUUUUGUUUUCUUUACCGGUGCUCUUGUCAGCGGCGGUGACGUUGAGGAUGCCGUUGGCGUCGAUGUCGAAGGUUACCUCGAUCUGGGGGACCCCGCGGGGCGCGGGGGGAAUCCCGGUCAGGUCGAACUUGCCCAGCAGGUUAUUGUCCUUGGUCAUGGCCCGUUCGCCCUCGUACACCUGCACCAGCACGCUGCUCUGGUUGUCAGAGUAGGUGGUGAAGGUCUGCGUCUGCUUGGUAGGGAUCGUGGUGUUUCUCUUGAUGAGCGGGGUCAUGACGCCGCCAGCCGUCUCAAUGCCCAGCGACAACGGGGUCACGUCGAGCAGCAGGAGGUCCUGCACGUUCUCUGACUUGUCCCCGAUGAGAAUGGCCGCCUGCACCGCGGCUCCGUAGGCCACCGCCUCGUCGGGGUUGAUGCUCUUGUUCAGCUCCUUGCCGUUGAAGAAAUCCUGCAGCAGCUUCUGGAUCUUGGGGAUGCGGGUGGAGCCGCCCACCAGCACGAUCUCCUGGAUCUGGCCUUUGUCUAGCUUGGCGUCACGCAGCGCCUUCUCCACCGGCUCCAGGGUUCCGCGGAACAGGUCAGCGUUGAGCUCCUCGAAGCGGGCGCGGGUGAUGGACGUGUAGAAGUCCACGCCCUCGUACAGCGAGUCGAUCUCAAUGCUCGCCUGCGUAGACGAGCUCAAGGUGCGCUUGGCGCGCUCGCAAGCGGUACGCAGCCGCCGCACAGCGCGCUUGUUGGGCCCAAUGUCCUUCUUGUGCUUGCGCUUGAACUCCUCCGCCAGGUGGCUCACCAUGCGGUUGUCGAAGUCCUCGCCGCCCAGGUGGGUGUCGCCGGCCGUGGACUUCACUUCGAAGAUGCCGUCCUCGAUGGUCAGGAUGGACACGUCGAAGGUGCCGCCGCCCAGGUCAAAGAUGAGCACGUUCUUCUCGCCGCCGGCGCAGCCCUUCUUGUCCAGGCCGUAGGCAAUGGCCGCCGCGGUGGGCUCGUUAAUGAUGCGCAGCACGUUGAGGCCCGUGAUGGUGCCCGCGUCCUUGGUGGCCUGGCGCUGCGAGUCAUUGAAAUAGGCCGGGACCGUGAUGACCGCGCUCUGCACCUUGCCUCCCAGGUAGGCUUCGGCGAUCUCCUUCAUCUUAGUGAGUACCAUGGAGGAGAUCUCCUCCGGGAAGAAGGUCUUGAUCUCUCCCUUGUACUCCACCUGCACUUUGGGCUUUCCUCCCUCGCUCACCACCCUGAACGGCCAAUGUUUCAUGUCCGACUGCACCGUGGAGUCCUCGAACUUCCGUCCGAUCAGCCUCUUGGCGUCGAAGAUGGUGUUGGUGGGAUUCAUGGCCACCUGGUUCUUGGCGGCGUCGCCGAUGAGGCGCUCGGUGUCGGUGAAGGCCACGUAGCUGGGGGUGGUGCGGUUGCCCUGGUCGUUGGC